CCUCUCUCCUCUCUCCUCUCUCUCCUCUAUCUCUCUCUCUCUCUCUCUCUUAGGUAGAUGUUUUUUAAGAGUCUUAACUAAAGGUAGACACUAGGUGUUUAGGUAGAUGUUUUAAUAGAGUCUUAACUAAAGGUAGACACUAGGAGUUUAGGUAGAUGUUUUAAUAGAGUCUUAACUGAAGGUAGACACUAGGAGUUUAGGUAGAGAACAAUAUGUUUUUAAUAGAGUCUUAACUAAAGGUAGACACUAGGAGUUUAGGUAGAUGUUUUAAUAGAGUCUUAACUGAAGGUAGACACUAGGAGUUUAGGUAGAUGUUUUAAUAGAGUCUUAACUGAAGGUAGACACUAGGAGUUUAGGUAGAGAACAAUAUGUUUUUAAUAGAGUCUUAACUAAAGGUAGACACUAGGAGUUUAGGUAGAUGUUUUAAUAGAGUCUUAACUAAAGGUAGACACUAGGAGUUUAGGUAGAGAACAAUAUGUUUUUAAUAGAGUCUUAACUAAAGGUAGACACUAGGAGUUUAGGUAGAUGUUUUUUAAUAGAGUCUUAACUGAAGGUAGACACUAGGAGUUUAGGUAGAUGUUUUUAAUAGAGUCUUAACUAAAGGUAGACACUAGGAGUUUAGGUAGAGAACAAUAUGUUUUUAAUAGUCUUAACUAAAGGUAGACACUAUGAGUUUAGGUAGAGAACAAUAUGUUUUUAAUAGAGUCUUAACUAAAGGUAGACACUAGGAGUUUAGGUAGAUGUUUUAAUAGAGUCUUAACUGAAGGUAGACACUAGGAGUUUAGGUAGAGAACAAUGUGUUUUUAAUAGUCUUAACUAAAGGUAGACACUAUGAGUUUAGGUAGAGAACAAUAUGUUUUUAAUAGAGUCUUAACUAAAGGUAGACACUAGGAGUUUAGGUAGAUGUUUUAAUAGAGUCUUAACUGAAGGUAGACACUAGGAGUUUAGGUAGAGAACAAUGUGUUUUUAAUAGUCUUAACUAAAGGUAGACACUAUGAGUUUAGGUAGAUGUUUUAAUAGAGUCUUAACUAAAGGUAGACACUAGGAGUUUAGGUAGAUGUUUUAAUAGAGUCUUAAAUAAAGGUAGACACUAGGUGUUUAGGUAGAGAACAAUGUGUUUUUAAUAGAGUCUUAACUAAAGGUAGACACUAGGAGUUUAGGUCAUGUUUUAAUAGAGUCUUAACUAAAGGUAGACACUAGGAGUUUAGGUAGAUGUUUUAAUAGAGUCUUAACUGAAGGUAGACACUAGGAGUUUAGGUAGAGAACAAUAUGUUUUUAAUAGAGUCUUAACUAAAGGUAGACACUAGGAGUUUAGGUAGAUGUUUUAAUAGAGUCUUAACUAAAGGUAGACACUAGGAGUUUAGGUAGAGAACAAUAUGUUUUUAAUAGAGUCUUAACUAAAGGUAGACACUAGGAGUUUAGGUAGAUGUUUUUUAAUAGAGUCUUAACUGAAGGUAGACACUAGGAGUUUAGGUAGAUGUUUUUAAUAGAGUCUUAACUAAAGGUAGACACUAGGAGUUUAGGUAGAGAACAAUAUGUUUUUAAUAGAGUCUUAACUAAAGGUAGACACUAGGAGUUUAGGUAGAUGUUUUAAUAGAGUCUUAAAUAAAGGUAGACACUAGGAGUUUAGGUAGAGAAGCAAUAUGUUUUUUAAUAGAGUCUUAACUCUGUGGUCCCAUAUGGCACCCUAUUCCCUACAUAGUGCCCUACUUUUGACCAGAGCCCU
This is a non-coding RNA of Oncorhynchus mykiss (rainbow trout), 1726 nucleotides long. NCBI's taxonomy places the organism in Eukaryota, Metazoa, Chordata, Actinopteri, Salmoniformes, Salmonidae. The record is from RefSeq and is a predicted model, not a curated record.